ACACACACAGAGGGAGAGACACACACAGAGGGAGACACAGACACAGAGGGACACACACACACAGGGAUAGAGACACUCAGACAGGGAAAGGGAGAGAAAGAGGGAUAGAGAGGAACAGACCCACACGGAAGCAGGUUGGACACACACACACAGGCAGACAGGGUCAACACGAACAGAGACAGAGCUAGACACACGAGUUCACCCACAGACACAGAGUUAUCUGUCACGGGCUGCCGGAGGAGUGUGUGCAGCAGCGGGCGAGUUGUCUACCUGUGUCCCGGAGCGGCAGUGGAGGGCGUGGAGCGGAGAGGAGAGGAGGGAGAGAGGGAGCCGGGCAGCCCGGGGCGAUGAGCCGGUGUGGCGCUGCGCUGUGAGCCGGGACCGACCAUGAAUCUGGGCGUCACGUUAUUCGCCCUGUGGCACCUGUGGCCGGAGACUGAGGGCGACUGGAUGCCCCGUGAACACAACCAGCGGAGCUUCCCCCUGCCCUGGACACUGGACAGGAAUGGCACAGAUCCCAAUGAGCUUGGCUUGUUCUCUACGAACGAGGGGGCCCAAGGACACGCCCCACGUGUGACUCGCAGUACAGUGGUGGAGAUUGCAAAGCCUGCCCAGUGCAAGGUGCGUCCGGAGGUGAUGGAGAUCACACGAAGCAUGGUGGAUCCCACAAAGGCUAACUUCUACCUGUGGCCGAGCUGCGUGGAGGUCCAGCGCUGCUCGGGAUGCUGCACCAUCAAGAACUACAAGUGCCAACCGACCAAGGUUCAGGAGCGACGUGUGCGGUUUGUGAAGAAGGUGUUUAAGCGGAGGGGCAUCGUGUCCAAGACGGCAGUGAUAGUCCUUCACGAUCACGUCGAGUGCAAGUGCAUGACUGCAGCUCAGUUAGCAGACUCCCAGGACAGAGAAGGUGACGUUCCUGGCCUCUCCCGCCCCCACCAUCGCCCUGGCCCGCAAAUACAGCAGCAGCAAACGGAAACAUCGGAAGUUCAAACUCUUUGAUGGGAAGAAGGGAAUUCACCAAACAUAGAGGAGCCCAGCCACCGGAUUCAGGUAUCUUUUGUCCGAGCAGCCCCGGAACGGUGUGACGUGAUGCUGUAGUCUGUGAUGGACCUCCCAUUCACAGCCAACAGGGAAAUUAUUGACGACCUCUGGCGACCCCCGUGGAAGCGAUGGAAAGGUUAAAUCCCGGAGCACUGUGCACUAAAGACCAAACGAUGACUUUUACCAAAUAUCUCACGAGUAAUGACCACUGGAUUUGUUGAGCGGAGACUGUAGCCGUCCAGCUUUGUGCCUGUGAGGUCCCUUGACGAGGAGGGGUCUGUUGAGACCUGCGUUGGGACACUGCUCUUUGCACUGUAUAUUUUGCUAUUUUAUUUUCGUUGAUGUUUUAUGAUGUCUCAUGUUUGUUACUGUCCGUGGAGUGAAGAGGACAUCUGGAGUCUAGGCCUACUGCUGGGGUCUGACUUGGCCAGUCUGUGUAGCAUUUGAAUGGGGAGGUUGGGGGGGGGCAGCUCCGUCCUAUGCAUCAGCACGGCAGGCUUCAUCCCCAGCUCAGGGCCCUUCACCACAGCCAUCGACGCGGGCACGGGUCAGGUCGCCCCUCAGGCUCCCCCGAGUCAGAGAUGGACCCACAGCCCCCCUGCCUCUGACAUCGAAUGGCUCCAGAAAUAUUAUAAACCCACCCUCAUUGCCCCAGACCCGAAACAACCACUAUCCAUGUCCUCCAGAGAUGCUGCCUGACCCGCUGAGUUACUCCAGCACUUGGUGUCUUUUUUUAAAAACCCUGCAUCUGCAGUUUUCCCUGUGUCUACAUCUUGCUUCCCCAGGGCUGGGUUCCUGGAGUCUGGAGUUUAACGGGUGGAGCCUGAGAGACGGGCUGGGGGCAGGCCAGGCGGGGGGUGGUUUGGUGAUGAAGUGAAGCCACCCUGAGGCGAGGGUGUGUGGGGGCCCAACAAUCCCACUCCCUGGAACCCUGCCACUUCCUCCUCCAUCUGACAGCAGGCUGCUCCUGCUUGUCUACACAGCCACAGCUCAGGGCCUGGAGUCUGUGCUGGUGAUCAACUGGUGCAACAGAAAAAGGGUCUCGACCCGAAACGUCCCAAGUCUGAGGAAGGGUCUCGACCCCGAAACGUCACCUAUUCCUUUUCUCCAGAGAUGCUGCCUUG
Molecule: RNA transcript, 2165 nt
Organism: Amblyraja radiata (thorny skate)
Lineage: Eukaryota; Metazoa; Chordata; Chondrichthyes; Rajiformes; Rajidae
Gene name: platelet-derived growth factor subunit B
Exons: 7
Source: RefSeq, a predicted model, not a curated record